RNAcentral lists this ribosomal RNA (486 nucleotides) under uncultured Planctomycetota bacterium. RNAcentral describes it as "bacterial SSU rRNA". It matches the Rfam family "Bacterial small subunit ribosomal RNA", at positions 166 to 643 of the family's 1533-position model. Lineage: Bacteria; Pseudomonadati; Planctomycetota. The record is from RNAcentral.
AUACUCGAUAACCUUCCCAAUCGUGAUAGAAGGGGAAGCAAUGGGUGUGAUUCCACCUGGGGAGCGGCUUACGCAGUAAUCAGCUAGUUGGUGAGGUAACGGCUCACCAAGGCUUUGACGCUUAGGGGGUGUGAGAGCAUGGCCCCCACCACUGGCACUGAGACACUGGCCAGACACCUACGGGUGGCUGCAGUCGAGAAUCUUCGGCAAUGGACGAAAGUCUGACCGAGCGACGCCGCGUGCGGGAUGAAGGUCUUCGGAUUGUAAACCGCUGUCAGAGGGGAUGAAGUAUAUGAAAGCUAUCUUUUAUAUUUGACAGAGCCUCAGAGGAAGCACGGGCUAAGUUCGUGCCAGCAGCCGCGGUAAUACGAACUGUGCGAACGUUAUUCGGAAUCACUGGGCUUAAAGGGUGCGUAGGCGGUUGUCUAAGUCACGUGUGAAAUCUUCCGGCUCAACCGGAAAACUGCGCGUGAUACUGGAUAACUU